Molecule: long non-coding RNA, 456 nt
Filed under: Vulpes vulpes (red fox)
Lineage: Eukaryota; Metazoa; Chordata; Mammalia; Carnivora; Canidae
Description: lncRNA (ENSVVUG00000007326.1)
Source: RNAcentral
GGUCAAUAUUCCUGAGGGAAGGGAGGAGUCGAGCAGUCAAAGCAACAAGUGAAGUUUGGUUGCCCGGUGUGGAGGCAACGGGCCAGGGUCAGGUGCCAGGGCUGCACACCGAUGGGAAAGGUGCAACAUCACAGCAUCGCAGCAAGUCUUCCAGGCCUGUCUGCAGCUCUUCCUGUAAGCAGAGGCCUUUUCCUGUGUUUGAACUCACCACCAAUGGCUGUCCUACCAAAGGCUGCCUUCUAUUCACUGACAGCUGCUUUGAACAUCAGUCGUAUCAGGUCAUCUGCCAAGCUGUGCGCCUCUGGUCAAAUCGCUCGGAGGUCUCUGGGUUGUCAGCUUCAAAGCGCCUCACAAGUGGGUGACUUGCCUCCUUCGUGGGUUUCAAAGCAUCAACUGAUAUUCAUCAAACACUUGCAACAUCAAGUGGAGAUUUUGCUGCUACAUGUGACAAAUUAG